GUUGCCGUGGUGUAAUUGGAUAACAUGCCACCCUCCGAAGGUGGAGACUUGCGAGUUCGAAUCUCGCCGGCAACACCA
Molecule: transfer RNA, 78 nt
Filed under: Actinomycetales bacterium
Lineage: Bacteria; Bacillati; Actinomycetota; Actinomycetes; Actinomycetales
Also listed under: 1 other name
Description: tRNA-Arg
Rfam family: tRNA
About the family: Transfer RNA (tRNA) molecules are approximately 80 nucleotides in length. Their secondary structure includes four short double-helical elements and three loops (D, anti-codon, and T loops).
Source: RNAcentral